Molecule: ribosomal RNA, 495 nt
Filed under: uncultured bacterium
Lineage: Bacteria
Description: partial 16S ribosomal RNA
Rfam family: Bacterial small subunit ribosomal RNA
Source: RNAcentral
GACGAACGCUGGCGGCGUGCUUAAUACAUGCAAGUCGAACGCUGAAGGAGGAGCUUGCUUCUCUGGAUGAGUUGCGAACGGGUGAGUAACGCGUAGGUAACCUGCCUUGUAGCGGGGGAUAACUAUUGGAAACGAUAGCUAAUACCGCAUAAGAGUAGAUGUUGCAUGACAUUUGCUUAAAAGGUGCAAUUGCAUCACUACCAGAUGGACCUGCGUUGGUUUAGCUUGUUGGUGGGGUAACGGCUCACCAAGGCGACGAUACAUAGCCGACCGGAGAGGGGGGGUGGCCGCACUGGGAGGGUGACACGGCCCAGAGGGCUACGGGAGGGAGCAGUAGGGAAACGUGGGCAAGGGACGGAAGUCUGAGCGAGCAAGGCCGAGGGAGUGAAGAAGGGUGUCGGGUGGGAAAGGUCUGUUGUAAGGGAAGAAAGAGUGUGAGAGUGGAAAGUUCACACAGUGACGGUAUCGUAUCAGGAAGGGACGGCUAACUACGUG